GACAAAGCAAGCCAAGGGUAGCAG
RNAcentral lists this unclassified non-coding RNA (24 nucleotides) under Mus musculus (house mouse). RNAcentral describes it as "oocyte_clustered_small_RNA8591". Lineage: Eukaryota; Metazoa; Chordata; Mammalia; Rodentia; Muridae. The record is from RNAcentral.